UCUUCAACUCAUCAGGCGCCAGGCGCUAAGCAGAACAGAUUCCUUGAAGCUAGCGGCCUGGCGGCGGCGCGGCGUAGAUAAAAGAGAAAAAAGGGUUGAAUUCCGAGAAGAGAUAAAUUGUUCUUCUUCACUCACAAUCAGCUGAGCGCUGAUGGCGCUGACCGGCUUACCUGCAUGACGUCAUGAUUCAACAACGUCAACAACUUUCCAUCGUCCAUCGUAAACUAAUCGUAAAUAUAACCUCACUUUCCGGAAUCCGGACACCGGACUGCAGGAUCAGUAUUUUUUAUGAGUCCUCUUUUUUAUUUUUAGUUUCUCCAAAACCUGUGUUCCUAAAGAAAAUAAUCGAGAGACCUCUUUAAUGCAUACGCCUUUGAAGUAUCAUAAUGGUCUUUUUUUCAAUAUGUGUUCAUCAUGAGAACUACGCUCUCUCUUUCUCCAAUCUUACGUUCUUUCAUGCUCGGGCCCUUGAAUAAUCUAUAAUUUAAAUGUGGCAUUCGUUCAAGAUUAUCGGAUUGAUUGCGCUAGGUAGAGGAAAUUUCCUGUGAAGCAGUGAAUCUUGAGGUCCAAACUUGUUUCUUCUACAAUCAAUUCUUCUGAAACUGCCGGCACUCUUCCACCCAUCACGUAACCUAGACAGAGAAUAGAAUAUUGCACAGCAUGUCGAGGAAAGGAGGUUCAAGUAUCGACUGCCUCCAGGACGAAGGAUUUUCUGUCAGGAAAAAAAAAGAUGCACCUAAAGCUAAAGCUAGACCACCUCCCAAAGGCACUAUCAAAAAUGCUCCAAAAGCUAAAACACCUGCCAAAGUCACACCCGCCAAAGUCACACCUGCCAAAGUUGUUGUCAAACAACCUGUCUUGGAUGAAUGGGGCUGCGAACCUCAAGAGCCACCAACAAAAUUGAAAUGUGAAAUGACCAAUUUAGACCUUUCGAAGGACUCAGUUGACUUGAUCUUGAACACACUGAAGAGAGCAAGAGGGCAGGAAUUUGCCGUGCCUGACGCCUCAUCUUAUAAAGACAAAGGGAAGAACCUGAACAAUCAGUAUUGGGUGGAUAGAGGAGAGCUCGUUAUCAAGGGCCUCAUAAAUUACGCAGACCCAAAUCGAAAGAAAACCACGCCCGAUCAACAAGUCCAUGCAUUUGCCGUAGCAAACUGCACAAAUAUGGAUUCCAUGAGAAGCAUUGUUCUGAAGCAUUGA
This 1200-nucleotide long non-coding RNA is filed under the name Bemisia tabaci. RNAcentral describes it as "lncRNA ENSSSA2NGG004222". Lineage: Eukaryota; Metazoa; Arthropoda; Insecta; Hemiptera; Aleyrodidae. The record is from RNAcentral.